GAGCUUGAAGUCAUCCAUUCCAGGUGGGCCAUGCUUGGAGCUCUUGGAUGCGUCUUCCCCGAGCUCUUGUCCCGCAACGGUGUCAAGUUCGGCGAGGCUGUAUGGUUCAAGGCUGGAGCCCAGAUCUUCAGCGAGGGUGGACUUGACUACUUGGGCAACCCAAGCUUGAUCCACGCACAAAGCAUCUUGGCCAUCUGGGCUACACAGGUGGUCUUGAUGGGUGCCGUUGAGGGUUACAGAAUUGCUGGCGGGCCACUCGGUGAGGUAACUGACCCAAUCUACCCAGGUGGAAGCUUCGACCCACUGGGCUUGGCUGACGAUCCCGAAGCAUUCGCUGAGUUGAAGGUGAAGGAACUCAAGAAUGGUAGGUUGGCUAUGUUCUCAAUGUUCGGAUUCUUUGUCCAGGCCAUUGUGACCGGAAAGGGACCACUGGAGAACCUGGCUGACCACCUUUCUGACCCAGUAAACAACAACGCCUGGGCAUAUGCCACAAACUUCGUUCCCGGAAAGUGAGCAACAAAAGAGUUUUUUCUGUGCUGGGACUAUUGGCUUGUAAUGUUAACUUGUGAUGUAACGAGCUCAUGAAUUGAAACUUGCGCUAAAAGUAAAUAUUCUGUUUGGUCCCUUGAAAAAA
Molecule: long non-coding RNA, 634 nt
Filed under: Populus trichocarpa (black cottonwood)
Lineage: Eukaryota; Viridiplantae; Streptophyta; Magnoliopsida; Malpighiales; Salicaceae
Description: long non-coding RNA (PTRI_LNC001616)
Source: RNAcentral